Molecule: ribosomal RNA, 734 nt
Filed under: uncultured Gemmatimonadota bacterium
Lineage: Bacteria; Pseudomonadati; Gemmatimonadota
Description: bacterial SSU rRNA
Rfam family: Bacterial small subunit ribosomal RNA
Source: RNAcentral
CCUUCGGGGGCGAGUACAGCGGCGGACGGGUGAGUAACACGUGAGCGAUCCACCCCGAGGCGGGGGGCAACCCAGGGAAACCUGGGCUAAUACCGCAUACAGCGGCAGGCAUGGAAGCCUGUCGUGAAAGCUGGCCUCUCCAUGGAAGCUAGCGCCUCUGGACGAGCUCGCGGCCUAUCAGCUGGUUGGUGAGGUAACGGCUCACCAAGGCGAUGACGGGUAGCUGGCGUGAGAGCGCGAUCAGCCAUACUGGGACUGAGACACGGCCCAGACUCCUACGGGAGGCAGCAGUGGGGAAUCUUGCGCAAUGGGCGAAAGCCUGACGCAGCGACGCCGCGUGGGGGAGGAAGGCCCUAGGGUUGUAAACCCCUGUCAGGUGGGACGAACCGGGGAUCGGCGAAAGCCGGUUCCUCUGACGGUACCACCAGAGGAAGCUCCGGCUAACUCCGUGCCAGCAGCCGCGGUAAAACGGAGGGAGCAAGCGUUGUUCGGAAUUACUGGGCGUAAAGGGCGCGUAGGCGGCCCUGUAAGUCGCAUGUGAAAGGCCGGGGCUCAACCCCGAGUAUUGCAUGCGAUACUGCAAGGCUAGAGACAGGUAGGGGCGAGCGGAAUUCCCGGUGUAGCGGUGGAAUGCGUAGAUAUCGGGAAGAACACCGGUGGCGAAGGCGGCUCGCUGGGCCUGUUCUGACGCUGAAGCGCGAAAGCGUGGGGAGCGAACAGGAUUAGAUACCCUG